CCUACGGGUGGCAGCAGGGAGGAAUAUGGGGCAAUGGAAGGAAGUCGGAACCAGAAAAGGAGAGGGCAGGAAGAAGGAGAGAGGAGGGGGAAACGGCGGUUGUACAAGGGUAAACCUGAAUACGUGUAUUCAGCUGAAAGUACUGUACGAAUAAGGAUCGGCUAACUCCGUGUCAGCAGCCGCGGUAAUACGGAGGAUCCAAGCGUUAUCCGGAUUUAUUGGGUUUAAAGGGUGCGUAGGCGGAUUGAUAAGUUAGAGGUGAAAUGUCCGAGCUUAACUCGGGAACUGCCUCUAAUACUGUUGAUCUAGAGAGUAGAUGCGGUAGGCGGAAUGUAUGGUGUAGCGGUGAAAUGCUUAGAGAUCAUACAGAACACCGAUUGCGAAGGCAGCUUACCAAUCUAUAUCUGACGUUGAGGCACGAAAGCGUGGGGAGCAAACAGGAUUAGAUACCCCAGUAGUC
This 460-nucleotide ribosomal RNA is filed under the name uncultured bacterium. Its description in RNAcentral is "partial 16S ribosomal RNA". It matches the Rfam family "Bacterial small subunit ribosomal RNA", at positions 338 to 795 of the family's 1533-position model. The record is from RNAcentral.